Molecule: ribosomal RNA, 719 nt
Filed under: Enterococcus faecalis
Lineage: Bacteria; Bacillati; Bacillota; Bacilli; Lactobacillales; Enterococcaceae
Description: bacterial SSU rRNA
Rfam family: Bacterial small subunit ribosomal RNA
Source: RNAcentral
UUGGAGGGUUUCCGCCCUUCAGUGCUGCAGCAAACGCAUUAAGCACUCCGCCUGGGGAGUACGACCGCAAGGUUGAAACUCAAAGGAAUUGACGGGGGCCCGCACAAGCGGUGGAGCAUGUGGUUUAAUUCGAAGCAACGCGAAGAACCUUACCAGGUCUUGACAUCCUUUGACCACUCUAGAGAUAGAGCUUUCCCUUCGGGGACAAAGUGACAGGUGGUGCAUGGUUGUCGUCAGCUCGUGUCGUGAGAUGUUGGGUUAAGUCCCGCAACGAGCGCAACCCUUAUUGUUAGUUGCCAUCAUUUAGUUGGGCACUCUAGCGAGACUGCCGGUGACAAACCGGAGGAAGGUGGGGAUGACGUCAAAUCAUCAUGCCCCUUAUGACCUGGGCUACACACGUGCUACAAUGGGAAGUACAACGAGUCGCUAGACCGCGAGGUCAUGCAAAUCUCUUAAAGCUUCUCUCAGUUCGGAUUGCAGGCUGCAACUCGCCUGCAUGAAGCCGGAAUCGCUAGUAAUCGCGGAUCAGCACGCCGCGGUGAAUACGUUCCCGGGCCUUGUACACACCGCCCGUCACACCACGAGAGUUUGUAACACCCGAAGUCGGUGAGGUAACCUUUUUGGAGCCAGCCGCCUAAGGUGGGAUAGAUGAUUGGGGUGAAGUCGUAACAAGGUAGCCGUAUCGGAAGGUGCGGCUGGAUCACCUCCUUUCUAAGGAA